RNAcentral lists this ribosomal RNA (106 nucleotides) under Carlito syrichta (Philippine tarsier). The record is from RNAcentral. Lineage: Eukaryota; Metazoa; Chordata; Mammalia; Primates; Tarsiidae.
AUCUACGGUCAUAUCACCCUGACAACGCCCAACUGGUCUGGUCUCAAGCUAAGCAGGGUCGGGUAUAGUUAGUACUUAGAAGGGAGAAUGGUGAAAUAACCAGAUU